This 466-nucleotide ribosomal RNA is filed under the name uncultured bacterium. RNAcentral describes it as "partial 16S ribosomal RNA". It matches the Rfam family "Bacterial small subunit ribosomal RNA", at positions 28 to 507 of the family's 1533-position model. The record is from RNAcentral.
GACGAACGCUGGCGGCGUGCUUAACACAUGCAAGUCGAACGGAAAGGCCCUGCUUGCCGGGUACUCGAGUGGCGAACGGGUGAGUAACACGUGGGUGAUCUGCCCUGCACUUCGGGAUAAGCUUGGGAAACUGGGUCUAAUACCGGAUAGGAGCCAUCUUUAGUGUGGUGGUUGGAAAGUUUUUUCGGUGUAGGAUGAGCUCGCGGCCUAUCAGCUUGUUGGUGGGGUAAUGGCCUACCAAGGCGGCGACGGGUAGCCGGCCUGAGAGGGUGUACGGCCACAUUGGGACUGAGAUACGGCCCAGACUCCUACGGGAGGCAGCAGCGGGGAAUAUUGCACAAUGGGCGCAAGCCUGAUGCAGCGACGCCGCGUGGGGGAUGAAGGCCUUCGGGUUGUAAACUCCUUUCGCUAGGGACGAAGCUUUGUUGUGACGGUACCUAGAUAAGAAGCACCGGCUAACUACGUG